RNAcentral lists this long non-coding RNA (397 nucleotides) under Homo sapiens (human). Its description in RNAcentral is "HSALNT0290095". The record is from RNAcentral. Lineage: Eukaryota; Metazoa; Chordata; Mammalia; Primates; Hominidae.
UCUCCAAAUGCUGACAGCCUCCCAGUAAGAUACUCGUGCAGAACAAGGCAGCAUAGAAUAUAUUCUCUCUCUCUCUUUUUCUUUGUUUUGCCAGAGGUAAAGGAAAGUUCUGUGAGAGAAGGGAAGGAGGGGUGAAGACCAGUUCUGUGUUCUCCAGCUUCCAGUCACAUCUCAUUGGCACUAGAGAUAUGGAGAUGGAAGAAGAGAGAGUCAGUGUCCUCAGGGUCGAGGUGAAGAAGACAGAUGAUGUGCCAGUGUGAUGUGAUCAAGGCCAGCCAAAAUGACAACAUGGGAUGAAGGUAUGAUGAUGGCCCCCAAGGAACCUGCCCAGGCUGCUGUGGGAGCACCACAUCUUAGAAGCAGACUCAAGUCCAUCUGGAAUUGCCUCGAGCCAUUU